UACUGUAGGAGGUGGGCUUGAGAGGAGUGGGAACUUGCCAGAUGAAAAGCGGGAAAGAAAUGCGCAAAGGCGGAUACCUGUGCAAAGGUCUGGUCCCAAAGGAAUGUGUAUUUGGCAAAAAAACUGACAAGAAUUAUCCUGAAAUGAGUGGUUGGUGCUUUAUAGUUGUGCCAUUAUUUGUAGGUUUCCUUUUGACUUUUUUCAGAAUUCUCUUCAAUACUGUUGCUCUCUUGUUUCUGUGACUCCAAAUAAAAUGAAAGGAAAGCCUGUGACAGUUGCAUCAGAGCAUUAGAGUGAUUACUUUAUUUCUUGCUGUCCCUGUUUGUACCUGACAUCCGAUUAAAACACUCUUGUUGCCCAUCUGACUAAGCUGUUACUGGGUUGUUCAGAGAGGACAUUUGGUUCCUUUUGUGAGAAACAGACCCCAGGUUUCCUUUUCCCUCUGGUUUUCAUUGACGGGCUGCCUCUGGCCCCUGGAGCAGCCUGUGGGCUUGUCUCUGCUGGAGUUUGAGGAGCAAAGCUGUCUUGGGGGGGUGGGUGACUUUAGUCAGAGGGACAGCAGGCCUGGGGAAUGGGGCAGAGAUGUGGCAGGUGGAGGCGGCUGUACAGGAGGUAGAGUUUGUGGAUGUUUGGCUGGUGGAAGAAGGUCCUUUUGAUGUGGGAAGCCAGUCAAAGGCACCGUGCUGGCCAGACCCUGGGCGUUGGCAGUUUUCCCAGAGUGAGGUUGAAUAGACGUCUCAGUGGACUGUCCACCCAAGGUCACUGCUGACUCAGGAGGCCUCUGCGCAAAGAUGUCUCCUUUCUGAAGGAAAAUUGUCUAAAAAAAGAUUUUUAAUUGGUUCAUAUUUGAAUCUUCACGCUGUUUUGGUUUUCGAAUGGACACAGUGUAUGGGGCAGGCUCUUAAGAUCUGAACUUUUGUCUAAUAAUUGCAUCUGGGUCCAGCCCAAACUUAGAUCCCAUGUCCCCCAGUCAGCUUUUCUUUUAAUCUUACUUUUCAUCUUUAAAAAUGAAAACCUCAACUUUGCACGACAGCAGAUUUGUCUUUUUUUUUCUCCAACGACAGAAGGCAAACGUAGUUUUACAUCUGAAGCUGAGUAGUUGGAGCAAUGAGAGUGUGAGGCCUGGACCAUGACACGUGACUUAGCAUUUGUGUUAUUAACUGAGUUGUGAAUGUUUGAAAAUGCCUUUCAUAGUGAUACCAAGGGAGUUCCCAUCGUGGCUCAGUAGUUAUCGAAUCCAACUAGGAACCAUGAGGUUGUGGGUUCAAUCCCUGGCCUCACUCAGUGGAUUAAGGAUCUGGCAUUGCCGUGACCUGUGGUGUAGGUUGCACAUGUGACUCGGAUCCCGAGUUGCUGUGGCUCUGGCGUAGGCCAGUGCCUACAGCUCCUAUUAGACCUCUAGCCUGGGAACCUCCAUGUGCCAUGGGUGCAGGCCUAGAAAAAGACAAAAAAAAAAAAAAAAAAAAAAAAAAAAAGAGUGAUGUUAAAAGAAAUGGUGGUAAAAAAUUUGGAAUUAUUUCAGAACAAUAGCCUUUGCUGGAGAUAGGCUCACGGCCUCUGGUUUUUCAGAGAUGGCUUAAACAGUUCUGUAUUUAAUUUCCACAAAUCAUCUUACAUUAUUAGUAAGCAGCCAGGUAUGCAGGAUCAGAUAUGCAGCUGCACCAGAUUUUCCCUGGUUGUCAGGGCCUGCUCUGGCAGCUCCAGAGAUCAGCUGUCACCUCUGCUAAGAGCCCUGCAUACGUUUCUGUCUGUUUACAGUGCUGUUACAACACACACAUCACUGCAUGCGUGAUUAAAGGAGUCUUGUCAGAUAAUCACUGAUUAUCAAGAGUGGCUCCCACUUUUAAGGACCCUCCUUUGAACCGGUAGAUGGUGGUGACCUGCCAGCUCAUUAGUAAGGUCAGUUUUCUGGAAGAUAUAGUUACAAAAUAAAGGCUGCGCUCUCAUCAACAGAUAGCUUCAGUGGCAAAGUGAAAGGUGACGAGACUUGAAAUAUUUAUGACCUUUAAAGCCUUCUGUGACCAGCAACCAGGAUACCACCUUUAUUAGCACAGACAAACGAUCUGUUUAGACCAGGACACUCUUCUCUCUAAAAACAAAAUUCUUAAACUGUCUCAUUUCUCCAGCCACAUUGUAUCUAUACCCUCAUUUUUUCUUGUCCCAGUUGUCUUAUUAUCAUAGAUUAACUUAAACAUCUGCAUGUCUUCUGUUCAUACUUUCAUAUCAACUCCACUUUAUACUUUGUAAUAUUCUGCUUGAGAUCCACCAGGGUGGUGUAUGGAGAAUGUAUCACCUGGAGUUUUAUUUUUAAUGAUCCGAGCACCUAUACAGCAUGACUGCCAGAAAUGCAAAGAUCUCCUUGAGGGAGAAUGCUCAGUUAAGAGGGCUGAUUAAUUUUCUGACCAAAGUAUUUUUUGAGUCCUGCUUUGUUCAUUCAACUGUAGGAGGUACGUAUUUAAUGUGUAAGUUAAUUAAUAUUUGAGGUUGAUAAAAAUGACAUCAUGAAAAGUUAAAUAAUAUAUUAACUGAAAGACUCAGAAUAAGAGAUAGCAGGAUGCAGAGUCAAAUCAAUGCCAUGAAGUCGUUGAGGAGAAAUAUCCUUGUCGUUAGAAUGGUCAGAGGCUUUGGGAGACUCUGGGACUUUCGUUCAUUUAUUCACCAUGUGGUACUGGGAAAACUGGACAGCUACAUGCAAAAGAAUGAAAUUAGAACGUUCUCUAACACGAUAUACAAAAAUAAACUCAAAGUGGGUUGAAGGGAGUUCUCUUGUGGCUCAGUGGUUUAAGGAUCCGGCAUUAUGCCUGCAGCAGCUCAGGUCACUGCUGUGGUAUGGGUUUGAUCUCUGCCGCAUAGUGGAUCCACAGGUGUGGCAAAAAAAAAAAAAAAAAAGGCUAAAGACCUAAAUGGAGGAGCCAGAUACUCUACAACUCCUAGAGGGAAACAGACAGAACACUCCUGGCCAUAAACUGCAGCAGUACUUUUUUUUGGGGGGGUCCAUCUCCCAAAGUAAAGGAAGUAAAAAUAAAAACAAGCAAAUGGAACCUAAUUAAACUUAAAGGCUUUUGCACAGCAAAGGAAACCAUUGACAAAAUGAAAAGACAACCUAUAGAAUGGCAGAAAAUACUUGCAGAUGAUAUGCCCUAUGAGGGAUUAAUAUCCAGUGUAUAUAAACAGCUCAUACAACUCAAUAUCAAAACAAACAAAAGCCAGUCAAAAAAAUGGACAGAGAAACCGAAUAGAUUUUUUUUCCAAAGAGGAAACGCAGAUGACCAGCAGGUACAUGAAAAGGUACUCAACAUCGCUAAUCAUCAGGGAAAUGCAAAUCAAAUCACAAUAAGAUAGCACCUCACAUCUGUCAGAAUGGCCAUCAUCAAAAAGAACACACAUAACAAAUACCGGCGAGGACGUGGAAAAAAGCUGUUGGUGGGAGUGUAAAUAAAUGCAGCCACUGUGGAAAACAAUAUGCAGGUUUCUCAAAACAUUAAACCACCGUGUGACUUAGCAGUUCCACUCCGGGGUAUACAUC
Molecule: long non-coding RNA, 3526 nt
Filed under: Sus scrofa (pig)
Lineage: Eukaryota; Metazoa; Chordata; Mammalia; Artiodactyla; Suidae
Description: lncRNA (ENSSSCG00000058442.1)
Source: RNAcentral